AGUUCCAACAUUGCUGAUGGGCCAAUGAAGGGAGGUGGGGUUUUCUGGGCUGCGAGGUUUUCUGGGCUGCAAUGUGGAGGUCAGCCACACAGUGAGCCAGCAUCCCGUGUGUACAGCAUGUGUACAUGCAUACAACGCAGUGGAUGCUGACGAGGGUGUGCAGGCCAGUGUAGGAUGGCUCUGGGAUGGAAGGAGCAUCUCUCAUGCACCUGUGCAGGUGCAACGUGUCCUCUGCUGGCUUGACGUGGACGCUCCCCAGUACCAGAGAAUGGCAGCAGCUUUGUGCCCCUGCAAGCCCUGAUUCGAGAGGAGGCUGGAGGCGUGCUGUCUCCGGCUGAGGAUGGAGUGCCCACUUUGUUCAUCUCUGCUCACUGGGGGAGCCAGGACACGGAUCCAGGUUUUCUGACUCCAGGUAGGCACCCAAAUCAAGACUCAGAUUUCCUCAUCUCAGAAGUUGUCCACUUCUUCUCCGACCUCCACGGUAACUCGGAACCACACCGUGGAGUUAUCCCUGUGUCCUCUUUCUCGGAAGUUCCACAUCCAACCCCUCAGCAGGUCUCAGCGGCACUCUCACCACCUCCUCUGCUCUGUUCCUGUUUCUCUUGGAUGGUCGAAUGUUUCCUAAGGAGUGUCUGCUGCUUCACGCUUGCCCCCUGGAGUGGCAUCUAAAAGGAUACCCUACAACUAACAGGCAUGAUGCCAUCAAGACAUCUUGAGCCUGGCUACCUCCCGUGGCCUGUAUUUUGUCCACAGGAAACUCGCGCAGUCUCACUACAGCAAAUUGAGGUGGUAUGGGGUGCCUGCUGCUGCCUCUCUCUUCACCUUUCCACAGAGGGCUGCCCCAGCCUGACUCCCACUUCCAGAGUUUCUCCAGCCAGGAGAAUCCUGAAAUCUCUGUAAAUAAGCAAUCCAGGAGCCAGAGAAUCAUGGGAUCUCAUAUAAACAAAUCAUCAAGGAAAAACACAGCCAGAGUCUCCAUUUGGUAAACCUCCGUGACUGGGGAUCCCCGGCCACCCAGAAAGCAGUAUUGCCUGCCAUGCAUGUCAUCACUGAUUUUUACUGCUGCAGCAGACUCCGUCAGACCUGCCUGCUGCUUCAGCGAAUUGUUCAGUGCACACCACCAGCUACCUGCUGUAAGCAUUCACACUCCUCUACCUGCCUGGCAGCAUUUCUCAGCUGAACACAGGCCAGGCCAGAAGUGCCAGGGAUUUAAUGCCCUUAGAAGUAGCUCUCUACCAAUGACAAAUGGAGCUGGUGGAUACAUUCUCAGCUUCCUCCCCUCUCAGGUGGAACAGCCCUGAGAUGUGCUCUAUGCAAUCUCCCACAAGUCCCCAGCAGGCUCAAGCUCCCAUUGUCCAACCCUGGUAACCUGCUCAUUGACACCCCUGUCUUGCCUUCCCUUCCUGGCCUCACUUUCUCACUCUCUUACUGUUGCCUCCUGAGAUCGCAUCCAAAAUAAAUGACCUGCACCCA
Molecule: long non-coding RNA, 1473 nt
Filed under: Homo sapiens (human)
Lineage: Eukaryota; Metazoa; Chordata; Mammalia; Primates; Hominidae
Description: long independently transcribed non-coding RNA 2128, transcript variant 1 (LINC02128)
Source: RNAcentral